This 1729-nucleotide transfer RNA is filed under the name Marmota monax (woodchuck). Lineage: Eukaryota; Metazoa; Chordata; Mammalia; Rodentia; Sciuridae. The record is from RNAcentral.
GGUAAUCUGAGGCUUCCUCACUGAGAAAUGUUUGAAAUACAGCUCUAUUGCAACUGGGUUGUUGAGCCCUGGGCCUAUGUCACUGAAUUGCUCUCUGGACUCCCUUAGGCUAAAUGAAUAAGUGGAAAACAGUUUAUACAGCCCUAGGUGACCACAGCACAGCAUCUUGGCAAACAUCUGAUGCUUUCUCUUUAAUGUCAAUUGAAAAAUUCAUGCGAGGGUAGGAUUUUAUUCUUAACUAUGGACUCAAUGAUAAUCACAGUGCUUUGUGAUUGGGCCAUUGAGUGAUCAGGAAAAGGGAUAUGUAACCAUGUGGAAACAUUGAAAACUGAUCCUCUCUGUCCUACACACACACUCUCUCUCUCUGUGGAGGAGUUGCCUGCAAAAGUUAAUCAUUGACUAGAACCAGGAAGACAAUCAGCUGCUCUCAGUGAUACCAACACUACCUGUAGAGAUCUGUGUAUGCCCUCAUGGUUCCCUGAGGAAUUUACUGGGUGUGGAGGAAGAAACAACUUCACAGUAGUGAUUUGACCCAUGACCAGAAACCUGACUCAAGCGAAGGACAAAGUUGCAGACACUGUCAGAUACCAGUUCACAUUUUAUUGGGAAGAACAGCUGGAACCAGAAAGGCCACCUGCCUGAGGCAGAAAGUCCAGGCCUUCAAAUGACUCAGUCUUUCCUAAGAGCGGUUGGAGGAAUGCUGGUGGCUGGUGAUUUUCCUGUUCCUGUGGUGCCCAGUAUGAAUGUUUUGCUUUGCCAUUAAAGCCCCUUUUGAGGCCAAGAUGCUAGGAAAACAGGCUGAUGGCACCAAGAAUCACACAGAAUCAUCCUGUCACUUUGUUCUCCUCUGUAGUAUGAUUUCACACAGCUGAUGGGCUCAAAGCAUCUGCUCAAAUUUCUUUCUGAACUUUCUCUUGAAAUACUCUGAGCAGAGGAGGAAAGAGUCGGAAAGUUAAGUAGGUCUGACAGAGUACGACUGUAGUCCAAUUUAUUAUUAUUUCUUUUAACAGUGGAUUGCCUCUAUCUUCCAAAUGAAAUUAUAGGCACAACUUGCACAUGGAAAGUAAGAGGGCUUUUCUUUUUUAUUUUAUUUAUUUAUUUAUUAUUUGCUUGCAGUGCUGGGGACCAUGUGCGCAAAGCAUAGGCUCUACCGCUAAGUUAUAUGCAGAGCUUUUUGGUGGCAUUGGGGAUUGAACCCAGGGCUUCAUUGUGUGCCAGGCAAAAGUUCUUCCACUGAACCACACCACCAGACCUAAAAGGAGAUCUUUUUUAUGUUUGAGGCUAGCUUUUUGAAAUCUAGAACUCUCCUGCUGUAACCUGGAAGUUGACCCUCCUAAUAUUUGAAAACCAUUACAAUUGAGAUGAAUUCCUUUAAAAUAGAAAGUGUUCUUUAAAAUAUGAAAACCUGUGCAAUAAUGAUUAUGUUGAGCCAGAAUCUAUGAGUUAAUCUCCCUUGGUAUGAAUUAGUUUAUGUCAAAUUUCUAUUUUUCCUAAUAACUGCUGAAACAAAUGCACUAGAGAAUAUGAACUUAAAUAGAGGGAAAAUAAAAUUACUUUUGAAGCAUGUGGCACUGCAAGUUAGGGAAGACAUAAGGGAGUUUCUCAGAGAGGAUUUGAGAACUGGUUUGGGUUAUCAGCACCAAAACAUAGGAUACUGAGACCAUGGGAGUGACUUAUUGCCUAUGUGAUACUGGGCAAGUUACUUGACCUCCCUGUUCCUUGAUUUCCU